GAGUUUGAUCCUGGCUCAGAUUGAACGCUGGCGGCAGGCCUAACACAUGCAAGUCGAGCGGUAACAGAUCCAGCUUGCUGGAUGCUGACGAGCGGCGGACGGGUGAGUAAUGCAUAGGAAUCUGCCCGAUAGUGGGGGAUAACCUGGGGAAACCCAGGCUAAUACCGCAUACGUCCUACGGGAGAAAGGGGGCUCCGGCUCCCGCUAUUGGAUGAGCCUAUGUCGGAUUAGCUAGUUGGUGAGGUAACGGCUCACCAAGGCCACGAUCCGUAGCUGGUCUGAGAGGAUGAUCAGCCACAUCGGGACUGAGACACGGCCCGAACUCCUACGGGAGGCAGCAGUGGGGAAUAUUGGACAAUGGGGGAAACCCUGAUCCAGCCAUGCCGCGUGUGUGAAGAAGGCCCUCGGGUUGUAAAGCACUUUCAGCGAGGAAGAACGCCUAGCGGUUAAUACCCGCUAGGAAAGACAUCACUCGCAGAAGAAGCACCGGCUAACUCCGUGCCAGCAGCCGCGGUAAUACGGAGGGUGCGAGCGUUAAUCGGAAUUACUGGGCGUAAAGCGCGCGUAGGUGGCUUGAUAAGCCGGUUGUGAAAGCCCCGGGCUCAACCUGGGAACGGCAUCCGGAACUGUCAAGCUAGAGUGCAGGAGAGGAAGGUAGAAUUCCCGGUGUAGCGGUGAAAUGCGUAGAGAUCGGGAGGAAUACCAGUGGCGAAGGCGGCCUUCUGGACUGACACUGACACUGAGGUGCGAAAGCGUGGGUAGCAAACAGGAUUAGAUACCCUGGUAGUCCACGCCGUAAACGAUGUCGACCAGCCGUUGGGUGCCUAGCGCACUUUGUGGCGAAGUUAACGCGAUAAGUCGACCGCCUGGGGCGUACGGCCGCAAGGUUAAAACUCAAAUGAAUUGACGGGGGCCCGCACAAGCGGUGGAGCAUGUGGUUUAAUUCGAUGCAACGCGAAGAACCUUA
RNAcentral lists this ribosomal RNA (967 nucleotides) under uncultured bacterium. Its description in RNAcentral is "bacterial SSU rRNA". It matches the Rfam family "Bacterial small subunit ribosomal RNA", at positions 9 to 973 of the family's 1533-position model. The record is from RNAcentral.